Xiphophorus hellerii (green swordtail) is the source of this 99-nucleotide long non-coding RNA. RefSeq lists it as uncharacterized. The transcript has 3 exons. The record is from RefSeq and is a predicted model, not a curated record. Lineage: Eukaryota; Metazoa; Chordata; Actinopteri; Cyprinodontiformes; Poeciliidae.
GUUGAGUUCAAUUUUGUCUUCAGAGAUUUUUGUGUUAUUUCCUUUGCUGGUUCUUGCUGCAGCGCUCCCGCAGGCGAGGAGGGGAACAAGUUGCUCAAA